Molecule: ribosomal RNA, 273 nt
Filed under: uncultured bacterium
Lineage: Bacteria
Description: partial 16S ribosomal RNA
Rfam family: Bacterial small subunit ribosomal RNA
Source: RNAcentral
UACGGAGGGAGCUAGCGUUGUUCGGAAUUACUGGGCGUAAAGCGCGCGUAGGCGGUUUUUUAAGUCAGAGGUGAAAGCCCGGGGCUCAACCCCGGAAUUGCCUUUGAAACUGGAAAACUUGAAUCUUGGAGAGGUCAGUGGAAUUCCGAGUGUAGAGGUGAAAUUCGUAGAUAUUCGGAAGAACACCAGUGGCGAAGGCGACUGACUGGACAAGUAUUGACGCUGAGGUGCGAAAGCGUGGGGAGCAAACAGGAUUAGAAACCCCCGUAGUCC